This 451-nucleotide ribosomal RNA is filed under the name uncultured Desulfobulbus sp. RNAcentral describes it as "bacterial SSU rRNA". It matches the Rfam family "Bacterial small subunit ribosomal RNA", at positions 938 to 1382 of the family's 1533-position model. The record is from RNAcentral. Lineage: Bacteria; Pseudomonadati; Thermodesulfobacteriota; Desulfobulbia; Desulfobulbales; Desulfobulbaceae.
UAUGUGGUUUAAUUCGAUGCAACGCGAAGAACCUUACCUGGUCUUGACAUCCCGGAGACCCUUAGGAAACUAGGGGGUGCUUCCAUCUGGAAGAAUCUGGAGACAGGUGCUGCAUGGCUGUCGUCAGCUCGUGUCGUGAGAUGUUGGGUUAAGUCCCGCAACGAGCGCAACCCUUGCCUUUAGUUGCCAGCAGUUCGGCUGGGCACUCUAAAGGGACUGCCGGUGUUAAACCGGAGGAAGGUGGGGAUGACGUCAAGUCCUCAUGGCCUUUAUGACCAGGGCUACACACGUACUACAAUGGCCGAUACAAAGGGCAGCGACACUGCGAGGUGAAGCCAAUCCCGUAAAAUCGGUCUCAGUCCGGAUUGGAGUCUGCAACUCGACUCCAUGAAGUUGGAAUCGCUAGUAAUCGUGGAUCAGCCAAGCCGCGGUGAAUACGUUCCCGGGCCUU